This 435-nucleotide ribosomal RNA is filed under the name uncultured bacterium. RNAcentral describes it as "partial 16S ribosomal RNA". It matches the Rfam family "Bacterial small subunit ribosomal RNA", at positions 29 to 507 of the family's 1533-position model. The record is from RNAcentral.
AACGAACGCUGGCGGCAUGCCUAACACAUGCAAGUCGAACGAUUGCCUUCGGGUGAUAGUGGCGCACGGGUGCGUAACGCGUGGGAAUCUGCCCUUAGGUUCGGAAUAACAGCUGGAAACGGCUGCUAAUACCGGAUGAUAUCGCGAGAUCAAAGAUUUAUCGCCUGAGGAUGAGCCCGCGUUUGAUUAGGUAGUUGGUGGGGUAAAGGCCUACCAAGCCGACGAUCCAUAGCUGGUCUGAGAGGAUGAUCAGCCACACUGGGACUGAGACACGGCCCAGACUCCUACGGGAGGCAGCAGUGGGGAAUAUUGGACAAUGGGCGCAAGCCUGAUCCAGCAAUGCCGCGUGAGUGAUGAAGGCCCUAGGGUUGUAAAGCUCUUUUACCCGGGAAGAUAAUGACUGUACCGGGAGAAUAAGCCCCGGCUAACUCCGUG